RNAcentral lists this ribosomal RNA (656 nucleotides) under uncultured fungus. RNAcentral describes it as "eukaryotic LSU rRNA". It matches the Rfam family "Eukaryotic large subunit ribosomal RNA", at positions 23 to 664 of the family's 3401-position model. Lineage: Eukaryota; Fungi. The record is from RNAcentral.
ACCCGCUGAACUUAAGCAUAUCAAUAAGCGGAGGAAAAGAAACUAACAAGGAUUCCCCUAGUAACUGCGAGUGAAGAGGGAAAAGCUCAAAUUUAAAAUCUGGUAGCUUCGCUGCCCGAGUUGUAAUUUAGAGAAGUGUUACCCGUGCUGGACCGUGUAUAAGUCUCCUGGGAUGGAGCGUCAUAGAGGGUGAGAAUCCCGUCUUUGACACGGACUACCAGUGCAUUGUGGUGCGCUCUCGAAGAGUCGAGUUGUUUGGGAAUGCAGCUCUAAAUGGGUGGUAAAUUCCAUCUAAAGCUAAAUAUUGGCGAGAGACCGAUAGCGAACAAGUACCGUGAGGGAAAGAUGAAAAGAACUUUGGAAAGAGAGUUAAACAGUACGUGAAAUUGCUGAAAGGGAAACGCUUGAAGUCAGUCGCGAUGACCGGGGAUCAGCCUUGCUUCUGUGAGGUGUACUUCCUGGUUUGACGGGUCAGCAUCAGUUUCGACCACUGGAAAAAGGCUUGGGGAAUGUGGCACCUUCGGGUGUGUUAUAGCCUCUUGUCGUAUACAGUGGUUGGGACUGAGGAACUCAGCACGCCGCAAGGCCGGGUUUCGACCACGUUCGUGCUUAGGAUGCUGGCAAAAUGGCUUUAAGCGACCCGUCUUGAAACACGG